AGUGAACGCUGGCGGUAGGCCUAACACAUGCAAGUCGAACGGCAGCACAGUAAGAGCUUGCUCUUACGGGUGGCGAGUGGCGGACGGGUGAGGAAUACAUCGGAAUCUACUUUUUCGUGGGGGAUAACGUAGGGAAACUUACGCUAAUACCGCAUACGACCUACGGGUGAAAGCAGGGGAUCUUCGGACCUUGCGCGAUUGAAUGAGCCGAUGUCGGAUUAGCUAGUUGGCGGGGUAAAGGCCCACCAAGGCGACGAUCCGUAGCUGGUCUGAGAGGAUGAUCAGCCACACUGGAACUGAGACACGGCCCAGACUCCUACGGGAGGCAGCAGUGGGGAAUCUUGGACAAUGGGCGCAAGCCUGAUCCAGCAAUACCGCGUGGGUGAAGAAGGCCUUCGGGUUGUAGAGCCCUUUUGUUGGGAAAGAAAAGCAGCUGGUUAAUACCCCGCUGUUCUGACGGUACCCAAAGAAUAAGCACCGGCUAACUUCGUG
This 492-nucleotide ribosomal RNA is filed under the name uncultured bacterium. RNAcentral describes it as "partial 16S ribosomal RNA". It matches the Rfam family "Bacterial small subunit ribosomal RNA", at positions 29 to 507 of the family's 1533-position model. The record is from RNAcentral.